AUGAUCCUUGGCAGCGGAUCCUUCGGCGGCUUCCCUCAGCCGGAUCCAUGGCGAAGCUUAGGCCCGUCCGGUUUCGUCCCCACUUCUCCCCCCUUUUUUUGCUGUAAUAAAUCCCAAUAUGGUUCGCCAGAUGCUCUUCUUCCUCGAUCUGUUCUUACCACCAUGGUUGUGGGAAGAGAGAUAGAGCAGCAGGAGAUGUACAUGCCUACCACUUGCAGGAGGCCUCGUUGCUACCUUCCUCCACUUGAUGCCGCCAAGGUGGUGGAUGAAGAGGGGUGGGGAAGCACUGAGCUGAAGAUUGAUGGUCGGGUUCGAGCUCAUCAGCAGAGGAUUCUAUGGUGGAGCUACGGCGCCUGCAGUCGGCUGCCGGUCUUCAUCGACCCUCUGCUUCUUCUGGUCGAAGGGCGGCCAACCCCUUUCCUCCUGGCUUGCAUGCCUUAUGGGAGGCAGUUCCAGUUUUCGUUCAGAGGCUCUGGGAUGCACGUGCUGCACCCAUGGCGAUCUCGUCGCCCCAAGUAG
This 519-nucleotide ribosomal RNA is filed under the name Triticum aestivum (bread wheat). RNAcentral describes it as "partial small subunit ribosomal RNA". The record is from RNAcentral. Lineage: Eukaryota; Viridiplantae; Streptophyta; Magnoliopsida; Poales; Poaceae.